AUUCAGCUGACCAGUCCCAAAUAGGACGAAGUGAUGCGCAUCCUGGAU
Non-coding RNA from Schistosoma haematobium, 48 nucleotides. The record is from Rfam. Lineage: Eukaryota; Metazoa; Platyhelminthes; Trematoda; Strigeidida; Schistosomatidae.